This 75-nucleotide transfer RNA is filed under the name Candidatus Wolfebacteria bacterium CG_4_10_14_0_8_um_filter_37_11. RNAcentral's name for it is "tRNA-Val". It matches the Rfam family "tRNA". From Rfam's summary of the family: Transfer RNA (tRNA) molecules are approximately 80 nucleotides in length. Their secondary structure includes four short double-helical elements and three loops (D, anti-codon, and T loops). Further hydrogen bonds mediate the characteristic L-shaped molecular structure. tRNAs have two regions of fundamental functional importance: the anti-codon, which is responsible for specific mRNA codon recognition, and the 3' end, to which the tRNAs corresponding amino acid is attached (by aminoacyl-tRNA synthetases). tRNAs cope with the degeneracy of the genetic code in two manners: having more than one tRNA (with a specific anti-codon) for a particular amino acid; and 'wobble' base-pairing, i.e. permitting non-standard base-pairing at the 3rd anti-codon position. The record is from RNAcentral. RNAcentral also lists the same sequence under 1 other name. Lineage: Bacteria; Candidatus Wolfeibacteriota.
GGACGGUUAGCUCAGUGGUAGAGCGCUUCGUUUACACCGAAGAGGCCGCUGGCUCAAUCCCAGCACCGUCCACAA